Molecule: long non-coding RNA, 1235 nt
Filed under: Olea europaea (common olive)
Lineage: Eukaryota; Viridiplantae; Streptophyta; Magnoliopsida; Lamiales; Oleaceae
Description: long non-coding RNA (OEUR_LNC004632)
Source: RNAcentral
ACUUACUCUGUUUUAGCGGGUUACCCAAUGGUCCUUCAUCUUUCUAUUUAGUUAUCCAUCCACCACUCAUUUAACUUCCAUUUCUUCAAAUAAACGGAAAACUACACGUGGAUAACAGAAGCAGACGUGGCAACUCUGUUAAAUUGAUAACCUGGGAUAAAACACACACACGACUUCUCCCCUAUUCUCAAUAUCAUAACCCCCAAUUCAAACCCUUUAAUUCCGGCCACAAUUUUCUCCAGGAUAGUGAUGCGGGCUGGUACAAAAUGGACGCCACCGGCCUGAGAAUCGCCGCCAUCUCUUCCCUUCACUGGUCCGGAUAAUAUCCUUGAUUAUGAUUUCCACCUCCAGGCUGCGGAUAAUUCUGCCUCUGACGAAAGUUUUGGGGAGAACCCUGACUCUAAAACCCACCUUGUCGAGGAUAAUUUUGGCUCAAAUUAGGGUUUUGGUUUUGUGGGUACCAAUUAUUUUGGUUGUUAUUAUUCCACUGGUUAACGUUACCACUUGCUGGUCGAGGAUGGGGAAAAUUAGGGGUCGGGUUAGGAACUCCAGGUGGAAAUCAUAAUCAGAUUUUUACCGUUAUAUGCUUGAGACAAGUAGAACUUCGUGGACUUGUGGAAAGUGCAAGGAAUCAGUAACUGUAGCUUUGAUUCAAUUGUACAGGCAAUCGAAGGUGAGUAGAAGCAGAUGGAAGAGAGCUCCCACGGUUAUAAGGAGCUUUCAAUUGUACAGUAGGAGAUAUGAAAAUGCUUAUAUGUAUUUUUAUCUUGAUCAAUGGAGUAGGGGUUGAAAAUGCGUAUAUGUAGUUGGUUGUUGUAAUUUGGUUCUUUGAACUUUGUAUUAUUGAAUGAAUGAAUCCUAUUAUAACUUGGUUUUUUUCCUUUUUGUGGCUGAGUUGAUGGUUAUUGUAACUUGAAAAUGCUUAUAUGUAUUUUUAUCUUGAUCAAUGGAGUAGGGGUUGAAAAUGCGUAUAUGUAGUUGGUUGUUGUAAUUUGGUUCUUUGAACUUUGUAUUAUUGAAUGAAUGAAUCCUAUUAUAACUUGGUUUGUUUCCUUUUUGUGGCUGAGUUGAUGGUUGUUGUAACUUGGUUCUUUGAACUUUGUAUUAUUGAAUGAAUGAAUCCUAUUAUAAUUUGGUUUGUUUCCUUUUUGUGGCUGAGUUGAUGGAUGGCAAUAUUUUGUGUAAAUUAGAAGUUAGUUCUAAGGCUAUUGAAAAUUGGGAUUGAUUGAGGUGCA